CUCCGAGAUAAGAUACACACACAGAGACAGGAGAUACAACGACGUGCUGAGGCAGCUGGAGCAGUCACCGAGGAUAAACACAUACCGAAACUGAGGAAGCUGACCUGUUCUACUCUCUCCCAUGACAACACAUACCUGAGGUCUCUUCCUCAAACCAGCUACUACCUGAUCUUGGGCCUUCGGAACCAGUUGUCUCGGCAUGGUUGUUUGAAGACCCUCCAGGACCAAGAGGACUUCUGUUUUAUGGUUAACCA
Molecule: long non-coding RNA, 254 nt
Organism: Oncorhynchus masou masou (cherry salmon)
Lineage: Eukaryota; Metazoa; Chordata; Actinopteri; Salmoniformes; Salmonidae
Exons: 3
Source: RefSeq, a predicted model, not a curated record